RNAcentral lists this long non-coding RNA (4025 nucleotides) under Sus scrofa (pig). RNAcentral's name for it is "lncRNA (ENSSSCG00000061296.1)". Lineage: Eukaryota; Metazoa; Chordata; Mammalia; Artiodactyla; Suidae. The record is from RNAcentral.
CUGUUGUAAAAUAUAUAUGCAUAGAAAAGACUGGAAAGCAUAAAUCAAAGUUUUAAAUCAGUGACUUUCUUUGGUAAUAUAUAAAAUUAUGGGAAAAUUGUUUUGCAGUGUAGUGGUAUUGUUCUUAUUUUGUUUUGUAUAGAGUAUUUUCCUGAAGAUAUAUUAUUUAGUAGUUAGCAAAAAAUACACAUGUAUGUAUUGUUACACUGAGUCAAGUCUUUCACGAAAAAAUUUAGAUGUUUAUUUUUAUCUUUUAUUUCCCUGUACUAGCUGUCCCCCUAAAUUUUGAUCCAUUAAGUUAAAUAAACUAAGAAAAGAUAUUUACCCUGUCUCUAGAAAAUAAAAAUCCAUUUUCUGUCAUCAUUCCAUAUAUCCAGUUUAUUAGAAUAAGUUCUAUUAUUUGUCUGGGGUUCGCUUUUUGCGCUUUUCCAUAAAUCAUAUUUUUGAUUGCUGACCUCCUAUUUGUUCUGAGAUUUCCACUCGAUGUAUUAUCCAUUUCUUUCCAGUCUUCUUCCCCACAUCUCAUCCACCCCUCCCAUCCUGGGGUCCUCUUUCAGGCACACAUGCAGAUAAAGCAGUUGGGAAGCCAUGGAAAGUUUUAAGCAGGGAAGUAAUAUGAUUUAUGCUUUUAAAAGAUUACUGUGGGAGUUCCCGUCAUGGCUCAGUGGUUAAUGAAUCCGACUAGGAACCAUGAGGUUGCGGGUUCGAUCCCUGGCCUCGCUCAGUGGGUUAAGGAUCCAGCUUUGCCGUGAGCUGUGGCAUAGGUUGCAGACGUGGCUGGGAUCCUGCAUUACUCUGGCUCUGGCGUAGGCCAGCGGCUACAGCUCCGAUUCGACCCAUAGCCCGGGAACCUCCAUAUGCCGCAGAAUCGGCCUUAGAAAAGGCAAAAAGACAAUAAAUAAAUAAAAUAAAAUAAAAGAUUACUGUGGUUGCUGUGUAUAUCAUAUUGUUUGGGAAUGAGAAAGAGAAAAGUAAACUUUAUAUAAAAAUUCAUAAAGCUUUUCUUUAUAAAAAUAAAAUCAGAUUUUAAAAUGUGAAAUACUUGCUAUAUCUGUCUAUAUUGUUCAGAAGGGUUUAGCCUCAGCAGUGGGGAAUAAUUAGCCAAAACCUAAACAUGGCUCUGGUCCUAUUUAGUAAAUCAUAUAAGAAAGACCUAAAAGGAUAAAAGUGUGUCCUACAAUCUAAACUGUAUCCCAGAACAAAGCUUAAGCACGCUGAUAGAAAUACAAAAAUAUCCAGCAUUCAAUGUGAUAAAAUUCACAGUGUCUGAGUCCAAUCAAAGAUUACGAAGCAUGCAAAGAAACAGUAAAUUAGGAUCUCUAAAUAGGUGGAAAAUCAAUCAAUUGAAACCAGAACUGACACACGUGUUAGAAUUAGCAGAUAAAAACACUAAAACUUAUUGUAACUGUAUUCUGUAUGUUCAAAAAAUUAAGCAGACUUAAAAAAAAUAACAAUAACCCAAUUGAGCAGUUCCCGUCGUGGCUCAAUGGAAACAAAUCUGACUAGCACCCUUGAGGAUGCAGGUUCCAUCCCUGGCCUUGCUCAGUGGGUUAAGGAUCUGCAUUGCCAUGAGCUGUGGUAUAGGUUGUAGAUGCGGCUCGGAUCUGGCAUUGCUGUGGCUAUAGUGUAGGCCAGCAGCUGUAGUUCUGAUUUGACUCCUAGCCUGGGAACCUCCAUUUGCCGUGGGAGUGGCCAUAAAAAUAUCCCCUUCCCAAAAGAAAUAGUCCAGUUGAACUUCUAGAGUUAAAACUAUAACGUCUGAGUUGAAAAAUACACUGGAUGGGAUAAACAGUAGCUUAGACACUGCAGAAGAAAAAGAUUAGUGAGUGUGAAGGCAUGACAACAGAAACUAUGCAAAAAUUAAUGGAUCCAUGUAUUUUGUCUGGGUCAAGGAAGAACAUGGAAACUCCUCAGUGAAAAAAGUUUCCAUGAAGGUGGAACAAAAUUGGAAUUGCUAAGCUGAUCUUUGCUCUGAGAGUGUAGUCAGGUAGUAACUAUGGUUUUGGGUCUGUGGGGUGGUAGGCAAUAGAGCUACUCCCAAAUUAGUGAUCCACCUCAAUGUGAUGACUAUCCUGUCUUGUACCUGAAGAACCGCUCUGGUGACUGCAGCAUCCAUCACCACAAAGGCAGCAAUAACAUGCUCCAGUGCAGGCUGUGUUGAGUGAAGAAUUUCCCUGGACUCUAUAGGUUUCAGCUGUAUUAACAGGCAGAAGCAACAUAGCAUAUUCUAGACACCCAGCUUCUUAUAGCCUUUGUGGAGCUAAUCAUUCUCAGAGAGAGAGGGAACAGUCAGUUUGGGUUCUAUCUACAAGCCAAGGGCAAACUAGGUUGGUCUUUCAUGAGGAGUGAGCAUUCUGAAAGAUUCUGGAACAUAUCAAGGAGGGGGAACCUAGUACAGAAGAGAAAAUGUUGUUGCUUUUAACGUGGGCAUGAGUGUUAUACCUUAAAUUGCUCCUGAGGGAUGGUUAUUAUGCUUCAAAUUGAAACUUGAACACUCUAGAUACGUGGAAGUUGAGGUGUAUUUCUUAGCUCUUUAUUUGCUAAAAUGUUUCUAGAAAAAAACUACCAAAAUAAAUAAGAACAAAUAGUCCUAGAAGAGAGAUUUUUGGAAAAUCUGCCCAAUUUAAACUUUGCCUUCAGAUUCCACUGAACGUCAUUAUUAUUUUGCUUUGUGACAAAGAAGGAAGUUAUUGAGAUAAAUAUGUAGCUCUUACCCAAUUCUGUAACUCCUCUUUAUCUACAACUGCUAUUCUGAGUGGUCAUAGCUAAUACAUACAUGGAUUUAUUUUGUGCCAAGUACUAUUCUGCACAUUGAUUUAACUCAUUAAAUAUAGUUCACUGAAGAACUCUCAAAUCUAGCCUACUCAUAAAAAACCCCCACCAUUAGAAUGUGCAACAUUUCCUAUGGGGAAAGAAAGGAGUGUGAUAAAAAUAAGUCCUCUCUGUACAAGACUUAACUUGAUGUAGAAUUAAAAUUACUUAUUUGCAGAUUUCAUGUGAUGAAAUUUUAUUUGGACUGUCUUUUGCAAAAACCUUAGCAUUCAGGCAUGCUUGCACAUGAAUGCAAUGAUUUAGGGCCUGUUACACAAAAAUUGUUGUAACUAUAUGUAAAGCCAUGUAAAACAUUAGAUCUAUCAAAAUGCUUCUCUCUAAAGUGCUCAUGAAAGAAAUGAGACCUAGAGGGAGUGGUAGGAAGAGAUUGUACUAAUUUGAACAGAAUUGCCCAUACAUGCAAAUCUCAAAAGCUUCAAUAGUCUGUUAUUUGCAAGUAAAUCUGUUUCCUGAUAUGCAGUUUCUUCUGUCUAAUUACAAUGAAAAUUGUUUUCAACCAUUUUUAAACAAUAAAAAGUUCUCUAGUCUCCAAUUAUGAUUUAUAUAACUAUAGAUAAUCCCAAAGUCCAAAGCAAAAAUGUCAACUAUACCGUCCUUUUAUCUGUUUUUCAAAAAGUAAAAAUCUGUUUCAUUUGUAUUCAAAGAACAGCUUUCUAUAUGAAUAAUUCCCAAAGCAUGAGAACCAGAACACAAUAACUUAGAAAAUACACUAAUGUUUGAGAAUUAAUAGGUUUUGGUUCUUCAUAAAUAGAAUUUUUUAAAGAAAUACCUCUUCAUUGGGUAUUCUCAAAUUACUAUACUUUCAAUAUCAAAUGAGUGUUAUUGGGAAACACUGCAAAAUUAGAAGUAACUUUAAAAAACAUUUUAAUUAAAAAAACUCUUGGAGCUCCUGCUGUGGUGCAGUAGGUUAGGGAUCUGACUACAGUGGCUUAGAUGACUGCAAAGAUGGGGAUUUGAUCCCUGGCCUGGGAACUUCUAUAUGCCACAGACACAGCCAUUAAAAAUUCCUGGUGGGUGAUCAAGGUGGUGGAGGAGUAAGACAUGGUGCUCACCUUCUCCCACAAGCACAUCAAAAAAAACCCCACAUCUAUAUGUAGAAUGAGUCACACAGAACAUCUACUGAACACUGGCAGAAGACCUUAAACCUCCAAAAAGGGCAAGAAUCCUUCCACAUACUUGGCUAGAACAAAAGG